CACGUAGGGUGCGAGCGUUGUCCGGAAUUAUUGGGCGUAAAGAGCUCGUAGGCGGUGUGUCGCGUCGGCCGUGAAAACCUGCAGCUUAACUGUGGGCUUGCGGUCGAUACGGGCAUCACUGGAGUUCGGCAGGGGAGACUGGAAUUCCUGGUGUAGCGGUGAAAUGCGCAGAUAUCAGGAGGAACACCGGUGGCGAAGGCGGGUCUCUGGGCAACAACUGACGCUGAGGAGCGAAAGCGUGGGGAGCGAACAGGAUUAGA
RNAcentral lists this ribosomal RNA (260 nucleotides) under uncultured bacterium. RNAcentral describes it as "partial 16S ribosomal RNA". It matches the Rfam family "Bacterial small subunit ribosomal RNA", at positions 524 to 782 of the family's 1533-position model. The record is from RNAcentral.